Long non-coding RNA from Stegodyphus dumicola, 452 nucleotides. RefSeq lists it as uncharacterized. The record is from RefSeq and is a predicted model, not a curated record. Lineage: Eukaryota; Metazoa; Arthropoda; Arachnida; Araneae; Eresidae.
GCAAGUACUAUCAAGUACUAUCGGGGAGUUUCAUAAGGCGAAUUUCGAGCGUUACAUUUGUCUGCAUAUCCUUUUUGAUUCAAGAAUUGAAGUCGAGCAUGCAGUCGAGAAUGAAGUCGAGCAUAUUAGCCAAUCCGUGUAACAUUUUGCACAACUGAGCUUUAUAUAAGGACUAGAAAUAAAAUCUAGUAUCAAACACUUGAGUGAAGUGUCAAUAGUCUUUCACCAGAUGCCAUGGGGCCUACUGAUGCACUGAGCAUUCAGAAGAGGAUCUACUCACUCACCACUGCCAGUUCAGAGCAACGAGAUUUAUACCUGUUAUAUGAAGUCGUUGGUUCAGAGUGCUACUGACAUCUGGGCGCCUAAGUAAUAUUUAUUUCUAUAGCUUCAAUAACUUAUUUGUUCUGAGUAAAGAGUGCUUCGGUUAUUAUAGUGAAGUUUGAACCACAUUC